RNAcentral lists this small RNA (589 nucleotides) under Pan troglodytes (chimpanzee). Its description in RNAcentral is "processed transcript". Lineage: Eukaryota; Metazoa; Chordata; Mammalia; Primates; Hominidae. The record is from RNAcentral.
CAGGGACUGAGCCCAUCACAGGGAUUCGUGCGACGGCGUGGAGUGCGGCCCGGGCAAGGCGUGCCGCAUGCUGGGGGGCCGCCCGCGCUGCGAGUGCGCGCCCGACUGCUCGGGGCUCCCGGCGCGGCUGCAGGUCUGCGGCUCAGACGGCGCCACCUACCGCGACGAGUGCGAGCUGCGCGCCGCGCGCUGCCGCGGCCACCCGGACCUGAGCGUCAUGUACCGGGGCCGCUGCCGCAAGUCCUGUGAGCACGUGGUGUGCCCGCGGCCACAGUCGUGCGUCGUGGACCAGACGGGCAGCGCCCACUGCGUGGUGUGUCGGGCGGCGCCCUGCCCUGUGCCCUCCAGCCCCGGCCAGGAGCUUUGCGGCAACAACAACGUCACCUACAUCUCCUCGUGCCACAUGCGCCAGGCCACCUGCUUCCUGGGCCGCUCCAUCGGCGUGCGCCACGCGGGCAGCUGCGCAGGCACCCCUAAGGAGCCGCCAGAUGGUGAGUCGGCAGAAGAGGAAGAGAACUUCGUGUGAGCCUGCAGGACAGGCCUGGGCCUGGUGCCCGAGGCCCCCCAUCAUCCCCUGUUAUUUAUUGCC